Molecule: long non-coding RNA, 1106 nt
Organism: Labrus bergylta (ballan wrasse)
Lineage: Eukaryota; Metazoa; Chordata; Actinopteri; Labriformes; Labridae
Source: RefSeq, a predicted model, not a curated record
UCCUCCCUCCUGUUGCCUGUUUGUAGCGUUUCCCUCUUCAUAGCAGUUCUAUUUCAUUGUUCCUGACCGCCAGAGGCAGUUCUUAACAGUGGAUUAUAUCUGUCUUGUGCACGCGCAGGUCGAGUAUUUAAUAUCAACAAAGUCACGUGACCUGGGAUGACGCCUGACGUAGCUUAAAUAGCCCGCGUCAUCACGUGAGACGCCCCUUCUUCUCGCAGGUAUCCGCGAUGCAGGUUGUUUACAGAAGGAAGCCAAAAAACUUUUUGCUUGGAGCCCUGUAACCACAAUUGGAGCUACGGAAUUUCGUCCUCCAAGGGCUGCGAUUAGUUACAACGGCUACAUUGUGUCACCAUACCGAGCUGUCUGACCGGUGUUUUCGCUGGGGCUCUCGGCGCUUUACGGACUGGCUAAUGAUAGCUUGAAGUGGGACCGCUGAGAUCCUGCUCCUCAUGUUCUCCUUGUGUCAGCCCCACCCCGAUUACCCACACCUGUGUCUCAUUAUACACUGAUUGGCUGUAUGUUUAACCCCAGUGUGUGCUCCCUCGUGUUGCCUGUUGGUAGUGUUUCCCUCUUCAUAGGAGUUUUUUCUUAUAGCCUUAGGCCUAGUCCGCAUGUAGGCCCACACACACUUAGUUCUCACAAACAUCUUGGUCCACAUGCAAACCCAAAACACACUGUUUGGGCUGUCAUGAGCACACCAAGUCAAAAACAAUAUCCUUGACACGCUAAAAUGGUCUUACCAUUCCUCUGCAAUGACCACUUAAAGUUCUCCAUUCAAGAGAGUAACUGUAUGUGUAUUGUGUUAGCAUGUUAAAAGUCCAGUUAGCAAUGUUACCACCAGCACUGUUUGGUUAUGUCUGCCAUUGCACUAAACUCAUGUAAACAAAAGUGACAGCCUCGCACUAUCAUGACAAACAGGGGAGAAAAUUGGUGAUAUUUCCCCGUCUACACAUAAACCUUAAACAGAGUUUCUAAAAAUCAUCUCCCUGGAAGGAGUUUUCCAAAAGCCUUUAGCCGACUCCUCUGGAUUUGUUUGCCGACUCCUUUUUCCCUUGCUGUGUACCAAACAUUGGACUUCAUUAAAUAUUUAACCAUUUUGAAUGCUC